Peromyscus leucopus (white-footed mouse) is the source of this 107-nucleotide small nuclear RNA. NCBI's taxonomy places the organism in Eukaryota, Metazoa, Chordata, Mammalia, Rodentia, Cricetidae. The record is from RefSeq and is a predicted model, not a curated record.
GUGCUCGCUUCCGCAGCAUGUUUACUAAAAUUGGAAUGAUACAGAGUAGAUUAGCAUGGCCCCUGUGCAAGGAAAACAAGCAUAUCUGUGAAGCAUUCCAUAUUUUU